AACUUUUGACAAUGGAUCUCUUGGCUCUCGCAACGAUGAAGAACGCAGCGAAUUGCGAUAAGUAAUGUGAAUUGCAGAAUUCAGUGAAUCAUCAAAUCUUUGAACGCACAUUGCGCUCCCUGGUAUUCCGGGGAGCAUGCCUGUUUGAGAAUCAAUAAAUCUCUCACCAUCCGGUCUGUUUGGCUAACGCUCAACAGAUUGGACGGUGGAUUUUAGUCCUUUGUGUUCUCACGAACACAAUGACUUUAAAUGUAAUGUCUGCAGCUUUCUCCUUGGUGAGGAAUUGCUUUGAGUGCAUGAACUGUUUUCAUUAACUAAGAAUUCACUCUCUUGAGCUUUCCUUAUUUUUUCAAGGGAUGACUGUCCGACUCAACCAUUACAUCCUUGGGGCAACCCAUCGAAUACUUGGUCUCAAAUCAGGUAGGAAAACCCGCUGAACUUAAGCAUAUCAAUAAGCGGAGGCU
Molecule: unclassified non-coding RNA, 464 nt
Filed under: uncultured Chytridiomycota
Lineage: Eukaryota; Fungi; Chytridiomycota
Description: sequence contains ITS2
Rfam family: 5.8S ribosomal RNA (bases 1-154)
Source: RNAcentral